UAAAGCCACGGACCCGAGCAGCAGCGCGACGGAUCCACGCCGGCCGCCUGCUCCGCCUCCGCUCCCUCCCCUCGGGUGAACCCAUCGCCGCCGGAGGGCGAGGGGCAGUAAGAAGCGGACAAGAUGAAGACGACCAAGGGGGGGAAGGUGAUGAACCCAACCGACGCCUUCCGCAAGGACCAGCGCAAGAAGGAGCUCAAGAGGAACAAAAAAGAAAGGAAGAAGGUGCGGGAGGUUGGUAUUUUGAAAAAGGAUCCAGAGGCUAUACGGGAGCAGAUCGAGAAAUUGGAGAAGAUGAAGGCUGAUGGUGCUCUUGACAAGGCUAGGAAACAUAAGAAAAGGCAGCUUGAGGAUACAUAUAAUCUUAUUGUUAAGAAAAGAAAGGAAUAUGAACAGAAAAUGAAAGAGAAGGGCGAGCAACCGGUUAUGUUUAGUCAUCUUGGACCACCAAAGAGGCGGCCUGCAGCAGAUGAAGACGAUAGAGCUAACAAUCCUAAGCCUGAGGACUCUGUUUACUAUCAUCCAACCUUAAAUCCAUCUGGGGCACCACCACCUGGCAAACCUCCAAUGUACAAAUCAUCUAUAGGACCAAGGAUCCCACUGCCUUCCUCAUCCAGCGCUGGGGCCUCAUCUUCCAUGUCAGAGUCUGAAGCAGAUCCAUCCACCCUGCCACCCCCUCCACCGCCACCACCGUUGCCAGCCACUUCAGAACCCAUUGAUCCAUCUGCUAUUUCUUUACCUUUAGCCCCCCUCCCGCCCCCACCCCCGCCCCCACCUAAGCCUGUCAGUGACAUAACAGCACCAAGCUUACCUCCGCCACCUCCACCUCCCGGUCCACCUCCGAGAGAAUCUGUGUCAGGUCAUACAUUUCUUCCACCGCCUCCGCCUCCACCGCAAAGGCCUUUGAAUCCACCGCCAGGGGCUGGUGCAAAGGAGCUUACCAAUAAACAAGGUGGUGAAGAGGGUGCAAGCAUAACAGAUUCUGCUCAGAACCUUGAUUUGCAGCCCACAGCUGUCCUGCCUCCACCGCCCCCACCUCCUGGGUUGCCAUCAAAAUCAAAUGACAUGGAGGUUGCUGGCAAUUCCAAUGCUCCAUUCAAAGAAGAUGCUGCUGCAAGGGUCUUACCGCCGCCGCCACCAAUGUCAUCAAAUCUGCCUCCUUUACCUCCAAGGCCUCCAAUGCAACCUGACAUGCUAGCUCCAGGAGUUAUGAGAUUUCCGCCACCUCCACCACCACCAGAUUCAAGGCUGCCACUUAUGGCUCCUGGAGUUGCCAGACCCCCUCCACCUCCUCCAGGAUUACCCCUGGCUCAAAUGCCAAUGGCACCUUAUGGUGUACUUCCUGGUCCGCCACCAAUGUUUAGGCCUCCAUUUUUGCCAGGACCACCUGUUCAACCAGAUGAGUUUGCCGCUUUUGCACCAAGGCCUCAGUUACCUCAGCAACCAUCAUAUGUAAAGUCGGCUGCUCCGACUGUUGUGAAGAGACCAUUAGCACAACACACUCCUGAGCUAACGGCUAUGGUUCCUGCAUCAGUUCGGGUCAAGAGAGAAUCUGCUCUCCCUAAGCCAAAACCAAAGGCACAGCAAUCAUCAACACCUUCAGUGACGAAGUCUUCAGUGACCAUCAUAAAAACUGAGGCCCAGCCUUCUUCAUCAGCACCCAAGCCGCAAAGUAUCGAUGAUUCUUAUAUGGCAUUCUUGGAAGAUAUGAAGCAACUAGGUGCUCUUGAUGAGUAGCUCAACUAGAUUAGAUGUCUAGUUGCACUUAACAGCUGCAGUCAUGAACCUAAACGUGAGCCCCAUCUUUCUUGUGGCCAAUGAAGUCUCUUUCCUGCUAUUUCUUGUGGCUAAUGAAUAGUCUCUUUCCUGCUAAGGUUGUCAUGCAGCAUCACUGUCACCGAGUCAAAACAUUAGACCAUUUGACACUUACUGGUUGGCCGUUGAACGGUUGCGCUGGCAGAUAUAUUCAGAUAAUACCAGUCGUGGGGAACACUACUGGUAAGUCGUAGUUGUCGACUACCUGCAUCUGCGUUGAAAAGAUUGACUAAACAGCAUGAACGCCUGAUAUGCAGUCAGUUUUGUUCGAUCAUGCUUGUGGAAAACGAGCUACAGCUGUUGUGAAAAUAUAAUGUGCGCAAAUGCCAGAGCCAUUCUUGUUCCAUCUGGUGCUUGAUGCAAGCAAGUAAAACAAAAUGAUGUGGAUAUAUGUUCAAAAUUGAAUGUACCAAUGUUUAUGUUGA
RNA transcript from Phragmites australis (common reed), 2240 nucleotides. It is a transcript of the gene named protein EARLY FLOWERING 5-like, with no coding region annotated. The transcript has 10 exons. Lineage: Eukaryota; Viridiplantae; Streptophyta; Magnoliopsida; Poales; Poaceae. The record is from RefSeq and is a predicted model, not a curated record.